GAGUGGCGAACGGGUGAGUAACACGUGGGUAACCUGCCCAUCAGAAGGGGAUAACACUUGGAAACAGGUGCUAAUACCGUAUAACAAUCAAAACCGCAUGGUUUUGAUUUGAAAGGCGCUUUCGGGUGUCGCUGAUGGAUGGACCCGCGGUGCAUUAGCUAGUUGGUGAGGUAACGGCUCACCAAGGCCACGAUGCAUAGCCGACCUGAGAGGGUGA
Molecule: ribosomal RNA, 217 nt
Filed under: Enterococcus faecium
Lineage: Bacteria; Bacillati; Bacillota; Bacilli; Lactobacillales; Enterococcaceae
Description: partial 16S ribosomal RNA
Rfam family: Bacterial small subunit ribosomal RNA
Source: RNAcentral